Molecule: long non-coding RNA, 583 nt
Filed under: Homo sapiens (human)
Lineage: Eukaryota; Metazoa; Chordata; Mammalia; Primates; Hominidae
Description: HSALNT0336462
Source: RNAcentral
GUGGCAGUGUUUAAUCACCUAUUGUUUCUCCCACUAACCUGCCCCCUCAAAGCCCAUCGCAGGUGGCCUUCAUCAAAGAGAUAAUCAGAUACUCACUGUCUUCAGCAUUGGUGUCUUCUAUUCUCAACGGCAUUUCUGGUGGCCACCCCAGGAGUCUCCCUGACCUGUUUUAAAACCCUUGGAAAUUAAGGAGAGAAUCCACUACAUAUAUUCCUUUGAAAGUUUCCACCAUAUAUGUUCAAAAAUUGCUGAAUGAGCACAAGGAUUUGAAGGUGCUAAAGCAAGGGAUAAACCAAAAGGACAGCCAGUAGGUGAGGAGAGGCCAUGGAAUACCCGCCAACAAGAUAAUCAUCGCUGGAAUAAUAGGGACCUGUCUGAAUAACCCAAGAAGAGGGGAAACCAGCAUGUCACCAGCUGCUGUGAUGGAGUCAGGUAGCACAGGGAAGUGGCUCAGAGCAGGGACUCUGGAGCUAGACUGCCUGCGUUUGAGAUCCUGCUCAGCCAAUUACUAGCUGGGUGAUCUUGGCAAGGUUUUUUGUUAAAACUGUUAUGCCUUAAUAUCUUUAAAAUAGGGAUAAUAAUA